RNAcentral lists this ribosomal RNA (484 nucleotides) under uncultured bacterium. RNAcentral describes it as "partial 16S ribosomal RNA". It matches the Rfam family "Bacterial small subunit ribosomal RNA", at positions 30 to 507 of the family's 1533-position model. The record is from RNAcentral.
AUUGAACGCUGGCGGCAGGCCUAACACAUGCAGGUCGAGCGGACGAAGGGAGCUUUUUCCUGGAUUCAGCGGGGGACGGGUGAGUAAUGCCCAGGAGUCUGCCUUGCAGUGGGGGAUAACGUCCGGAAACGGGCGCUAAUACCACAUACGUCCUGAUAGAGAAAGUGAGGGUUCUUUGGAGAUCACGCGAUCAGAUGAGCCUAGGUCGGAUUAGCUAGUUGGUGAGGUAACGGCGUACCAAGGCGACGAUCCGUAACUGGUCUGAGAGGAUGAUCAGCCACACUGGAACUGAGACACGGUCCAGACUCCUACGGGAGGCAGCAGUGGGGAAUCUUGCACAAUGGGCGAAAGCCUGACCCAGCCACGCCGCGUGUGUGAAGAAGGUCUUCGGAUCGUAAAGCACUUUAAUUUGGGAGGAACGAAAGUAUAUUAAUCCCUUCACGUCUUGACGUUACCUACUCAGUAAGCCCCGGCUAACUACGUG